AUGGCGAUGGUCGCGUCGAACAUGAGCGGCCACAUACAAAAGCAGCUCACUAGAAGUCUUGAGCGAAUCCUGGAGGAAGCACACUUAAGCGGUGAGCUCAAGCUUAGCGGUCGAAAACUUAAGGAUUUUCCAAAAGUAGGAAAAACAGGCUCUAGUAAAUAUAAUCUUCAGGAUACAGUUAUUGCCGAUUUAUCGAAGAACCGUUUCGCCGAAUUGCCGGAAGAGGUGACGGAAUUUCUGUUCCUCGAAAAGCUUCAUCUCUACCACAAUGCCAUAAGAAUAAUACCGGAAACUGUGGUGAUGCUACAGUCGCUCAACUACCUCGAUCUUAGUCGCAACCAAUUGACUUCUCUACCUCGGGAGAUAUGCAGGCUACCGUUGCAAACGUUAUUGGUCGCUCACAACAGAUUGGCAUCUCUGCCGGACGAAUUGGGCAGGAUGUCCGCGUUGGCCGAGCUCGAUGCGGGAUGCAACGAAAUCACGAAUCUGCCACCCCGCAUGGGCGAUCUUGCGCGACUUAGGUCCUUAGAUUUGAGGAGCAACAUGAUCGUGCACCUGCCUAUAGAACUGACGUACCUGAGACUCGUAAAGCUGGAUAUCAGCGGCAAUCGGAUAUCCGUGCUUCCAAACGAGAUGAGGAAAAUGAAGAGUCUGGUCGAUUUUCGGCUGUCCGAUAAUCCUUUGACCUCGCCACCUGCCUCGUUAUGCAUUCGCGGGCGAACGCACAUCUUUAAAUAUUUGGAGAGACAGGCGGCGAAACACGAGAGGGCCAGAGGUGGCCGUGCUAGGAGAACACCUUUGGAUGUCAGAGGUCACGCGACUUUGGACACGAGGACCCACAGGCGACACAACGUAGACAGUGGAUACAGCACGAGCGACGGCGUCGACAAACGCUGGUCUCAAGAGAUUCACAGCGCGGUGCACGACGGCGAGAUUCGAGGGCUGUGGCGUCAAGAAUGCUCGCCCCUUUCGAUCACGUUGCCGCACGAGACGGGCGUGAAUGGAUCCUGCAGCGGAACCUCGACACCUAGUACCAUCUCGCCUGGCGAGCACACGUCUCUCGAGGAUGAGCUCGGCAAGGCAAUGAUACUGCACGAUCAAUUGGAAAAGAGGAAAUUAGAAAGGAGCACCUCGGAGAAUGGUGCCGAUGUCAGAAGACCGAUGACCUCUGGCUUCUAUCACGCGUCGAUUACGCCACCCGGCCCCCUCGAAUCCGCUCAUCUGAAUCAAACGGUAUCGACCAACACGCAAUCCGUGCAACCGUUGCAAACUUCGACCUCUAACGCUACCUCGUUGAUGAACGGAGACGAGAAAAGGCCGCUCAAUCAUAUUCAAACUUACAGGGAGUAUAAAGAGGCUUUGAGACAACAAAGGGCGAACGAAGGACCAAGCGUGUACAGGCCGCGAGAACAAGUUACACCGCCAGGCAACGAAUCGCAGAACAACGAGACGGACUCGGCUAGUAACAAAGACGCGGUUGCUUUGACCGGUAAACAGAUCUUCAACGAGGAGAACGCGACCAAGAGACCAGUGCAGAAGGUAACUCCGUCACGCAUCAACUAUCAGAACACGCCGAUUAUCAACGGUAGCAAUAACGAAUACAACAAUAAGAACGGGAAAUACCUCGAGCAGCCGUAUAAGAAGCCUAAUUCGCCAAUCAAAACGUCUUCGAGCAUUUUAUCUUCCAACGCAAGCCCAGGACACACGCCUAGAUUAGUCAAAACCGCUGUUGGUUACGUGGAAGGUAACAAGAGUCCGAACAGGAACGGUGGAAGUCCAAAGUCACCUCGGUCGGUUACAUGGAACAGCAACGUGCCGGAAAAAUAUUCGUUCACCAUGAGAAGAGAGUUCGAGCGUGCCAAGGAGGAAGCUGACUUGAUCGAGCAACUUCGAAACCAUAUCGAGACACGGUUGAAGAUGGCUUUGCCGGAAGAUCUCGCCCCGGCGCUAACGGAUGGAGUUGUACUUUGUCACUUGGCAAAUCACGUAAGACCCCGAUCGGUUGCCAGUAUCCACGUUCCUUCGCCAGCUGUGCCCAAGUUGACAAUGGCAAGAUGCAGGCGUAACGUCGACAAUUUUCUCGAAGCGUGUCGAAAGAUUGGCGUUGACGAGAAUCUCGUGUGCUGUGCCAGCGACGUGCUGGAAGGAGGUCGGGGAGUGGUACGUGUGGCUGUCACGGUCUCGGAGCUGCUCAGGUUCCAUCAGUCACGGUCACCGUUGCAGACCACGUCAUCCUCGAACGUGCCGAACCACGUGUCCGCUUAGCGCCAAACGAUAUAAACACGAUGUAAUCGGAUAAAAUAAUCUUGUCGACCAUGAAAGAAACGGACUCGCGGCCACGUUUUACCCGAUCGAUGUGUGUACCCGGAAAGAAGAAUGGACCCGACAGCAACGUCUUGUCAUUCGUUUUUCUAAUACUCGAGACACGUGAUUUCGUUGUAAUAGGUACAGCCACCUAAACGAAAAGACGAGACCACUUCUCGGUCCAACUUCUUCUAGAUCGAACAAUAACGCUAUAGAGGAUCGAUAAUCUCUUCAGAUUUUUAUACUCGUUACACGUACGCGUCAGAUAAUCGCGUGUCUGGUCGUAUAUCGGCGACUUUCUUUAAAUCAAAAAAAAAGAAAAAAAAGAAAAAAAAAGAAGAAAAAAAAAGGAAAGAAAAAAAAAACAAACGACGCGACAUCAAAAAUAUUUAACGCAACGUGUUAGACUGCGAUCAAUCAUGACACUUGAUUUAUUAUAGCUGUACGAAACUUUUAUAUCGGAAAAAAACAAAACGUAUCUUUGUACGAGAAAGAAGAAAAAAAAAAAAAAAAAAAAGAAGUAGCAGGAAACUAGGAUAUAAAGUAGCCUAGUUUCGUAAAAGAAAUAAGAUAUGAACGCGCGAACAGCCGUAUAAAGAAAGUUAGUAAAUAUCGGAGACACUUUCUCGGGCUCGAUUUUGCGAGAUCUCGAAGCAAUGAAAAAAGUUCCUACUUCCUGAAUAUUGAUUAUAACGCGUUAUCAUCAUAUUUUAUAGUUCUUACAUUGAUAUUAAGCCAAGCAUAUUAUCUUUAGCAAGAUAAUUGUUUUCAGUGAUUUCUGAGGAAAAAGUCGUAAUUUUACGAACUUUUUUCGUUGUGUUCCACCGUUCAAUCCCAAUAAAAUGUCUCCUAUAUCUAUUAACAGCCUGUAUAUCCGUGCUUUCUAAUAGCUGGUAAUUACGAGGCAUUUCAAUAUCGUAACGUGGAACAAUAAUCGAUUAAAUCGAUCAAAUCGAAACACGCGAUGAAUGAUAACGCAAUUUUGCACUUGAUCAAAACAUACCUAUUGGAAUUUUAUCCAUAUUUAAAUUAUCUUGCAAUUAAGUAUCUUGUGAAUCGAGCAUGCGCUAUAUAACUAAAGAUGAAUUCGCGUAGUUUAAAACGAAAUCCAUAUUGGUAAAAAUUUACGCGAAUCAGCUCAAUUAUUUCGUUUUACAAGCGAUAUUUGAUUCGUUUGUUCCGCGGUUACUUUAACGAUUUAACGUUCCCCUCCAAAGAAAAUACUAGGAAGUUGAACCAACCAUCUUUAAGUCUCGGAACGAUGCAUACACAAUCUACUGCGGAUUAAGUAGGUUUCUGCGCGAACGAAUGGUAAGUUAGUUAGUUAGUACGUUUCCAAUAUAACCGACGAUCGAUAACAGGCUCGAUUGAGAAUUUUGAUUGUCGGCAACGAUCUCGAACGAAUCGUUGAUAUAUCAUUGAAUAUCAUUCAUACUUUUAUGUAAAAUUAAGGCCUAGGUGUUCACAAAAAUGUAUAUCGUUAACGUUGCAAUUUUCUUUACGUCUAGUACGCGAUACUAAAUUAUUUUAUUCUUCUCCGUUAUUUUAUAAUUUCAACGCAUAUAUCGAGUUAUCUUUUAUCCUUGAAACGACAAUUCCAGCUACUGCCACGAUUUGAUAAUAUAUUUCUUGAAACGAUAAAACCCCGUUAGGUGCUAAACGAAUGAUCGCGUAGAAGGAAUUACGAAGGAUCUCAUAUGUCGUGAUCAGUAAAGAAUCGAGCGAUUAUGUCUCGAUAUCUCGUCAGAGUGUUCCGACAAAUAAUGCGCGUUACCGAUCCAAGCUCACCCCGACGAGAUAUCCAAUGUGGAAGAUUGUACCGUGUAUUCGUAUUUAUUGUGCCAAAGAUAUAUAUUAAUUUUUUCUCUCUAUUUCUCAUCAAGGACGAAUCUUUGCAGGUAAGCAACGAUGUUUACGAAAUAACGUCGAAGAAAGAAGACUACUACGAUAUAUCGAAGAUUGUUCGACAAGAUUUUGGAGUAAUGGAGUAAUAAGACGAUACGACGAUCACGUGCCGCUUCGUCUGUCUAUCGAACGUCCUAAUCUCCUGCGUCGAAUUCCAAGUGGAAUUAGACGCGAUUCGUCCUUUGAUCACGGCUACAUUAUCGUGAACUGAAUUUUUCACUUGUCUUUUUUCGUGAAUUUUCCCUCUCUCUCUCUCUCACUCGUUCUCCGUUCUUUCUCCUCCCUUCUCACUCCCUCAACCUCAAUUUCAUAUUUACGUUUAAUUGGACCAGCACUUCUCGUUUAUAAAUAUAUGCGAAUUCGUCAAGCGACGCAUCGCUGCGGAAUUGUAUCGUUCGCUCAAAUUAUUACGUUCGCGUUUCUCAAAAACGAACGCGCUGCUAAAUUGGCCAUCGUUUGAAACGUCUCGAUCGACUGGCUAUCAUCGUUAUCAGCAGUAUUACAAGCAAUUAUCCCACCGAUACAGGCCUUUUUAAACGUGUUCCGA
This 4756-nucleotide unclassified non-coding RNA is filed under the name Apis florea (little honeybee). RNAcentral's name for it is "leucine-rich repeat and calponin homology domain- containing protein, transcript variant X2". Lineage: Eukaryota; Metazoa; Arthropoda; Insecta; Hymenoptera; Apidae. The record is from RNAcentral.